Molecule: ribosomal RNA, 433 nt
Filed under: uncultured bacterium
Lineage: Bacteria
Description: partial 16S ribosomal RNA
Rfam family: Bacterial small subunit ribosomal RNA
Source: RNAcentral
AACGAACGCUGGCGGCAUGCCUAACACAUGCCAGUCGAACGGGACCUUCGGGUCUAGUGGCGCACGGGUGCGUAACGCGUGGGAACCUGCCCUUAGGUUCGGAAUAACUCCCCGAAAGGGGUGCUAAUACCGGAUAAUGUCUUCGGACCAAAGAUUUAUCGCCUUUGGAUGGGCCCGCGUUGGAUUAGCUAGUUGGUAGGGUAAAAGCCUACCAAGGCGACGAUCCAUAGCUGGUCUGAGAGGAUGAUCAGCCACACUGGGACUGAGACACGGCCCAGACUCCUACGGGAGGCAGCAGUGGGGAAUAUUGGACAAUGGGCGAAAGCCUGAUCCAGCAAUGCCGCAUGAGUGAUGAAGGCCUUAGGGUUGUAAAGCUCUUUUACCCGGGAUGAUAAUGACAGUACCGGGAGAAUAAGCUCCGGCUAACUCCGUG